AAAGAUCGAACGGGGAGAUUCAUCGUUUGCGAGGCAGGCCUCGCGACGGCAAGCGAUGCUCGUAAUUUUUUUACGGGCACACUUUCGUUGCGUUGCGUCUUGUUACGCCGACGUGCACUUCUCCCCUGGUAGAACGUCGCGACCCGUUGGGUGUCGGUCUACGGCCCGAGUGUCUGCCUGUCGCGCGUCAUUUAUUGUCACGCGGUAGAACCUCGGUCGCCCGGCCGGCUGCCCGGCGGUACUCGCAAGGUAUAGGGCCGCAAUUGUACUGCGUUCAGGCCCGUCGCAAGCGCGGUCAGUGAUCCCGGAGUGCGGACUAUGGUGCCGUCCCCGGGCCUGGCCAGCUGUUGGCAGACGGUGUCCUCGAACUGGCCAAGCGCCGUUAAAAGCGCACGAGAUACCGGUCGGCGACGCUACUGCUUUGGGUACUCUCAGGACCCGUCUUGAAACACGGACCAAGGAGUCUAACAUGUGCGCGAGUCAUUGGGACUGAAAAGCCUAAAGGCGCAAUGAAAGUGAAGGUCGGCCUCGCGCCGAUCGAAGGAGGAUGGGCCGCGUCACGAUGCGGCUCCGCACUCCCGGGGCGUCUCGUUCUCACU
This 599-nucleotide ribosomal RNA is filed under the name Embolemus sp. MC-2010. Its description in RNAcentral is "eukaryotic LSU rRNA". The record is from RNAcentral. Lineage: Eukaryota; Metazoa; Arthropoda; Insecta; Hymenoptera; Embolemidae.